GAUGAACGCUAGCGGCAGGCUUAAUACAUGCAAGUCGAGGGGCAGCAGGGGUGUAGCAAUACACUCGCUGGCGACCGGCAAACGGGUGCGGAACACGUACGCAACCUACCCAAAACUGGGGAAUAGCCCGGGGAAACCCGGAUUAAUACCUCGUAACAUAAUGAAGUGGCAUCACUUUAUUAUUAUAGCUCCGGCGGUUUUGGAUGGGCGUGCGCCUGAUUAGGUAGUUGGCGGGGUAACGGCCCACCAAGCCUGCGAUCAGUAACUGGUGUGAGAGCACGACCAGUCACACGGGCACUGAGACACGGGCCCGACUCCUACGGGAGGCAGCAGUAAGGAAUAUUGGUCAAUGGACGCAAGUCUGAACCAGCCGUGCCGCGUGAAGGAUGAAGGUCCUCUGGAUUGUAAACUUCUUUUAUAUGGGACGAAACCUCUUUUUCUUGAGAGACUGACGGUACCAUAGGAAUAAGCACCGGCUAACUCCGUGCCAGCAGCCGCCGUAA
This 503-nucleotide ribosomal RNA is filed under the name uncultured bacterium. Its description in RNAcentral is "partial 16S ribosomal RNA". It matches the Rfam family "Bacterial small subunit ribosomal RNA", at positions 28 to 523 of the family's 1533-position model. The record is from RNAcentral.